This 445-nucleotide ribosomal RNA is filed under the name uncultured bacterium. Its description in RNAcentral is "partial 16S ribosomal RNA". It matches the Rfam family "Bacterial small subunit ribosomal RNA", at positions 354 to 796 of the family's 1533-position model. The record is from RNAcentral.
GUGAGGAAUAUUGGUCAAUGGACGAGAGUCUGAACCAGCCAAGUCGCGUGAAGGAAGACGGUUCUAUGAAUUGUAAACUUCUUUUGUGCAGGAAUAUAGUGGGUUACGUGUAACCUUUUGUAUGUACUGUACGAAUAAGGAUCGGCUAACUCCGUGCCAGCAGCCGCGGUAAUACGGAGGAUCCGAGCGUUAUCCGGAUUUAUUGGGUUUAAAGGGUGCGUAGGUGGAUUGAUAAGUCAGCGGUGAAAGUUUGCAGCUUAACUGUAAAAUUGCCGUUGAAACUGUCGGUCUUGAGUGCAAAUGAGGUAGGCGGAAUGUGUUGUGUAGCGGUGAAAUGCUUAGAUAUAACACAGAACUCCGAUUGCGAAGGCAGCUUACUGGGAUGCAACUGACACUGAUGCACGAAAGCGUGGGUAUCAAACAGGAUUAGAUACCCGUGUAGUCC